AGUGAACGCUGGCGAUAGGCCUAACACAUGCCAGUCGAACGGCAGCACAGUAAGAGCUUGCUCUUACGGGUGGCGAGUGGCGGACGGGUGAGGAAUACAUCGGAAUCUACUUUUUCGCGGGGGAUAACGUAGGGAAACUUACGCUAAUACCGCAUACGACCUACGGGUGAAAGCAGGGGAUCUUCGGACCUUGCGCGAUUGAAUGAGCCGAUGUCGGAUUAGCUAGUUGGCGGGGUAAAGGCCCACCAAGGCGACGAUCCGUAGCUGGUCUGAGAGGAUGAUCAGCCACACUGGAACUGAGACACGGUCCAGACUCCUACGGGAGGCAGCAGUGGGGAAUAUUGGACAAUGGGCGCAAGCCUGAUCCAGCCAUACCGCGUGGGUGAAGAAGGCCUUCGGGUUGUAAAGCCCUUUUGUUGGGAAAGAAAAGCAGCAGGUUAAUACCCCGCUGUUCUGACGGUACCCAAAGAAUAAGCACCGGCUAACUUCGUG
This 492-nucleotide ribosomal RNA is filed under the name uncultured bacterium. Its description in RNAcentral is "partial 16S ribosomal RNA". It matches the Rfam family "Bacterial small subunit ribosomal RNA", at positions 29 to 507 of the family's 1533-position model. The record is from RNAcentral.